This 199-nucleotide ribosomal RNA is filed under the name uncultured Acinetobacter sp. RNAcentral describes it as "partial 16S ribosomal RNA". It matches the Rfam family "Bacterial small subunit ribosomal RNA", at positions 336 to 526 of the family's 1533-position model. Lineage: Bacteria; Pseudomonadati; Pseudomonadota; Gammaproteobacteria; Moraxellales; Moraxellaceae. The record is from RNAcentral.
CUCCUACGGGAGGCAGCAGUGGGGAAUAUKGGACAAUGGGGGGAAMCCUGAUCCAGCCAUGCCGCGUGUGUGAAGAAGGCCUUAUGGUUGUAAAGCACUUUAAGCGAGGAGGAGGCUCUCUUGGUUAAUACCCAAGAUGAGUGGACGUUACUCGCAGAAUAAGCACCGGCUMACUCUGUGCCAGCAGCCGCGGUAAUAC